CGCUCAGUAACACGUGGAUAACCUACCCUUAGGACCGGAAUAACCCCGGGAAACUGGGGAUAAUACCGGAUAAGCCAUAGACGCUGGAAUGCCCUAUGGUUCAAAGCUCCGGCGCCUAAGGAUGGAUCUGCGGUCUAUCAGGUUGUAGUGGGUGUAACGUACCUACUAGCCGACGACGGAUACGGGUUGUGAGAGCAAGAGCCCGGAGAUGGAUUCUGAGACACGAAUCCAGGCCCUACGGGGUGCAGCAGGCGCGAACACUUUACAAUGCGGGGAACCGCGAUAAGGGAACCCCGAGUGCCAGCAUCAAAUGUUGGCUGUCCGGAUGAUUAAAAAUCAUUUGUUAGCAAGGGCCGGGCAAGACCGGUGCCAGCCGCCGCGGUAACACCGGCGGCCCGAGUGGUAGCCGUUUUUAUUGGGUCUAAAGGGUCCGUAGCCGGCUUGAUAAGUCCUUUGGGAAAUCUGGCAGCUUAACUGUCAGGCUUCUAAGGGAUACUGUCAGGCUUGGGACCGGAAGAGGUAAGGGGUACUCCAGGGGUAGGAGUGAAAUCUUGUAAUCCCUGGGGGACCAUCUGUGGCGAAGGCGCCUUACCAGAACGGGUCCGACGGUGAGGGACGAAAGCUAGGGGAGCAAACCGGAUUAGAUACCCGGGUAGUCCUAGCUGUAAACGAUGCUCGCUAGGUGUCAAACACGGUGCGACCGUGUUUGGUGCCGCAGGGAAGCCGUUAAGCGAGCCACCUGGGAAGUACGGUCGCAAGGCUGAAACUUAAAGGAAUUGGCGGGGGAGCACUACAACGGGUGGAGCCUGCGGUUU
Molecule: ribosomal RNA, 815 nt
Filed under: uncultured archaeon
Lineage: Archaea
Description: bacterial SSU rRNA
Rfam family: Archaeal small subunit ribosomal RNA
Source: RNAcentral